RNAcentral lists this ribosomal RNA (812 nucleotides) under Escherichia coli. RNAcentral's name for it is "partial 23S ribosomal RNA". It matches the Rfam family "Bacterial large subunit ribosomal RNA", at positions 1 to 856 of the family's 2925-position model. The record is from RNAcentral. Lineage: Bacteria; Pseudomonadati; Pseudomonadota; Gammaproteobacteria; Enterobacterales; Enterobacteriaceae.
GUUAAGCGACUAAGCGUACACGGUGGAUGCCCUGGCAGUCAGAGGCGAUGAAGGACGUGCUAAUCUGCGAUAAGCGUCGGUAAGGUGAUAUGAACCGUUAUAACCGGCGAUUUCCGAAUGGGGAAACCCAGUGUGUUUCGACACACUAUCAUUAACUGAAUCCAUAGGUUAAUGAGGCGAACCGGGGGAACUGAAACAUCUAAGUACCCCGAGGAAAAGAAAUCAACCGAGAUUCCCCCAGUAGCGGCGAGCGAACGGGGAGCAGCCCAGAGCCUGAAUCAGUGUGUGUGUUAGUGGAAGCGUCUGGAAAGGCGCGCGAUACAGGGUGACAGCCCCGUACACAAAAAUGCACAUAUUGUGAGCUCGAUGAGUAGGGCGGGACACGUGGUAUCCUGUCUGAAUAUGGGGGGACCAUCCUCCAAGGCUAAAUACUCCUGACUGACCGAUAGUGAACCAGUACCGUGAGGGAAAGGCGAAAAGAACCCCGGCGAGGGGAGUGAAAAAGAACCUGAAACCGUGUACGUACAAGCAGUGGGAGCACGCUUAGGCGUGUGACUGCGUACCUUUUGUAUAAUGGGUCAGCGACUUAUAUUCUGUAGCAAGGUUAACCGAAUAGGGGAGCCGAAGGGAAACCGAGUCUUAACUGGGCGUUAAGUUGCAGGGUAUAGACCCGAAACCCGGUGAUCUAGCCAUGGGCAGGUUGAAGGUUGGGUAACACUAACUGGAGGACCGAACCGACUAAUGUUGAAAAAUUAGCGGAUGACUUGUGGCUGGGGGUGAAAGGCCAAUCAAACCGGGAGAUAGCUGGUUCU